AGCCGCCAGACCCACUAUCUCUCUUCCCCCCAUCUUUCCCUUCUAUGCAUCUCCGCCUCUCCUUCUCGAUUCGGCACGAGCUUCGCUUCGAUUUGCUUUUAUUUUCUCUCGCCCUGCUCGUUCUCCGAUGAUGACCCAAAUAAUACUUUCGUUCUUCUGAAAUUCACAAUGUGGAAGAACUGGAGACCUGAACUGAGGAGACUGCAUCUGGUUGCCGUUUGAUUUUUCUGUACGUAUUUUGUUUUCUUUUCCUUCCCAUGGAUCGGGGUUGGUUGUUCGCGGAUCCCGGUGAUGACCUGUGAUGUUAAAGUAGUGGCCUGAUUCAUACGUUGAUGAGAUCCAUAUUAUCACCCAGAGGGAUCUGAGCCAAGAAGCAACCCGACAUUGUUGCUCGUCUGGGGUUCUCGUUUUUGCUAUUUGCUUGAGAAGUUUUGGACUACUUUUCGCCCUCCCGAUGACUGGACAAAAUUUAAGUUUCAGCCUUGUCUGAAAAAUACCAAUCUGUUGAUACAUCUAUGCAAAUGUUUCUGAGGGACCAUCUCUUUUCGAGAUUCUGUUUUUGUUUUAUCUUGUGCUAGAUCUAAUGCCUAAAGCUGUCCGAUGAUGAUGAAACUAAAUACUUUCGUUCUUCUGAUGCGCUAUCUCAUGGCGCGGUGUGGAAGCAAUUUGGAGACCUGAACUGAGGAAAAGCUUAUUAUAUCGGUGCAUUUCAAUUUUUUUCCGCUUGCAUUUUGCGUUUGAAAAACUGUUUUGUGUUUGUUGCUUCACACCUGGAAGGAUGGCCUGUUGAUAUCAGUUUGGUCAUCCCGUAGAGGGAAGCAUAGACGGACGGAAACACCGGCCAGCAUUAAACAGCACGACGCAAAAUCAAACCGUGUCGUGUUACCUGUCUUCUGGCACAUCUCAACACAAAUUUGCAUGUUUUUGUUUCGUGAGAUUCGUGUGCCUCCAUCUUCCGUUUUCCCUUUCUUCCCCGAUCUCCUUGUCGCCCAUGCGACCUGUUGUCUUCUCUGCAUCCAGCAGCUGGAUUAGAGGUGUUGCCCCUGCAUGCGGCUCGGAGGUGGGAGGUGGUUGGCUGGUUGUUCGAGCAAUCAUGUCAGUUUUGUCAGCCGCUUGUGUCGAGGAGAUGCCCCUGCAUACAGCUUGGAGGUGGGCGGUGGUUGGCUGGUGGGUGAAAUGAAAUCGAGGAGGGAGAGGGGUGGCGGUGCAGAUGGAGGGGUGGGUGGCGGUGCUGGAUGUGAUAGAAAUCUAGAAUAUAGGCUCUCUAAAUUCUGUGAUUUCUGUCCUGUCCGCUGCCGCUCACAUCUCCCUCUGCGCCUGUGAUCCCUCCCUUCUCGAUUUUAGGCCACGGCCAACAACCUCUGUCUCCCAGCUGUCUCAUCUGGAUCCAACUCAUGGUGGAAUAAAGCUUGCUUGACAGUUCAUGCGAAUCAGCGUUAUCAAAUUGCUGCUUGAUCUGUAAUUCGGUUCAUUCUGUGGUUACUUUACUUUGUGUGAGCAAUCAAAGUUAGUUUUGUCCGGUGAUGAAGUGAUUUGGAGACCUGUACUGAGGAAGGGCUGUAUGAAUUGAGUUUUUAUCAAAUUUGCUUCAUAAAUGUUAAUGGCUUGUUAGCAGUUUACUCUGUA
Long non-coding RNA from Triticum dicoccoides, 1626 nucleotides. RefSeq lists it as uncharacterized. Lineage: Eukaryota; Viridiplantae; Streptophyta; Magnoliopsida; Poales; Poaceae. The transcript has 2 exons. The record is from RefSeq and is a predicted model, not a curated record.